AUGUAUGGCCAGAUUCCUGCUGACAGCUCAGGCACGGCGGUGCCCAUUCUUGCCUCUUUCUUUAUGGGAUUAGCUACACUUGUCGUGCCGCCUCUUGAUGAGAUGAACACUCCUAUAUCUUCAUUCAAAGGAAAAGGGCAGGCUAUUAUGCCUAAAAUUCCCUUCAAAUCACCAUGCCCAAAAAGUGCUCACCGCAAACUUUUUACUGAGCCCUCAAAGCCUGAGGACACUGAACUCUCUGCCUCAGCUGCCAAGGUGGCUAGCCAGGCUGAACAAGGUGCUCCUGCUGGAAAUGUUGUUGAAGCUACAUUUGUGCCAAAUGUCGGUCAAGAAACUGAGCUUAUAGCUACUGAAGAUCCAAAGAACAACCUUCCUGACCACACUAAAGUCAAGAGGUAA
This 399-nucleotide ribosomal RNA is filed under the name Triticum aestivum (bread wheat). RNAcentral describes it as "partial small subunit ribosomal RNA". Lineage: Eukaryota; Viridiplantae; Streptophyta; Magnoliopsida; Poales; Poaceae. The record is from RNAcentral.